Molecule: ribosomal RNA, 1055 nt
Filed under: uncultured bacterium
Lineage: Bacteria
Description: bacterial SSU rRNA
Rfam family: Bacterial small subunit ribosomal RNA
Source: RNAcentral
CCUACGGGAGGCAGCAGUGAGGAAUAUUGGUCAAUGGACGCAAGUCUGAACCAGCCAUGCCGCGUGCAGGAUGACGGCCCUACGGGUUGUAAACUGCUUUUAUUCGGGGAAAAACCCCUCUACGUGUAGAGGGCUGAUUGUACCGAAGGAAUAAGGAUCGGCUAACUCCGUGCCAGCAGCCGCGGUAAUACGGAGGAUCCGAGCGUUAUCCGGAUCUAUUGGGUUUAGAGGGUGCGUAGGUGGAAUAUUAAGUCAGUGGUGAAAUCCCGCAGCUCAACUGCGGAACUGCCAUUGAUACUGAUGUUCUUGAGUACAGAUGGGGUAGGCGGAAUGUAUCAUGUAGCGGUGAAAUGCUUAGAUAUGAUACAGAACACCAAUCGCGAAGGCAGCUUACCAAACUGUUACUGACGCUGAGCACGAAAGCAUGGGUAGCGAACAGGAUUAGAUACCCUGGUAGUCCAUGCCGUAAACGAUGAUAACUCGAUGCGUGCGAUAAACUGCACGUGUCCAAGCGAAAGCGUUAAGUUAUCCACCUGGGGAGUACGAUCGCAAGGUUGAAACUCAAAGGAAUUGACGGGGGCCCGCACAAGCGGUGGAGCAUGUGGUUUACUUCGAUGAUACGCGAGGAACCUUACCAGGGCUUGAAAGUUAGCGAUUGGUCGGGAAACCGAUCGUCCCUUCGGGGCGCGAAACUAGGUGCUGCAUGGCUGUCGUCAGCUCGUGCCGUGAGGUGUCGGGUUAAGUCCCAUAACGAGCGCAACCCCUAUCUCUAGUUGCCAGCACCUUGGGUGGGAACUCUAGAGAAACUGCCCGCGUAAGCGGUGAGGAAGGUGGGGACGACGUCAAGUCAUCACGGCCCUUACGUCCUGGGCCACACACGUGCUACAAUGGCCGGUACAGUGGGCAGCUACCAAGCGAUUGGAUGCUAAUCUCUAAAACCGGUCUCAGUUCGGAUUGGAGUCUGCAACUCGACUCUAUGAAGCUGGAAUCGCUAGUAAUCGCGCAUCAGCCAUGGCGCGGUGAAUACGUUCCCGGGCCUUGUACACACCGCCCGU